UAUCAAUAACCUUUUUCUCAUUGUUGGUCAUUGGUGGAUCAUCAACAAUAUUCAUUUGAUGAUUAACAAAGUUUGUUUAUACCUCUAUUACUUUAUUCUUUUGAGACUCCUGGAAUAAAUUAACCAGAUGCCUCGGCGUACGACAGGUACGCGACCAAUGCCUUUCAUCCCACACCUAAAACAAACAUCUGGUUUGUUCUUAUAUCUGUGUUGCAUUUUCUUUAUUUUUACCCAACUCAGACACUUGCCACUUCUGGUGGCUUAAAUUGUCGCGGUUCUAGAAUUUGUUGUUAUGAUGGCCUCGUUUAUUCUUUCGCCCCCAAGGCUUCUUAUUAUAUGGCCAUCUAUAGUCACGUUUAUUCUGCUGGAAUGACGUGCUAUUAAUAUCCGGCAAUGGGGUAACACCCGUUGGCCGUACUUGAUGGUUUUUCAACAACAAUUCAUUAUUCUUUUCUGCAACAAGGAGGAUAAGCAAUAAGUCACUGAAUUUUGUGAACUUACUCUGUCUAUAUUAUUGUGACAGAAUCAUGUUGGUGGGAUGAAAAGUUGAGAGUGUUUUUU
Molecule: long non-coding RNA, 561 nt
Filed under: Panax ginseng (ginseng)
Lineage: Eukaryota; Viridiplantae; Streptophyta; Magnoliopsida; Apiales; Araliaceae
Description: long non-coding RNA (PGIN_LNC014786)
Source: RNAcentral